RNAcentral lists this ribosomal RNA (445 nucleotides) under uncultured bacterium. RNAcentral describes it as "bacterial SSU rRNA". It matches the Rfam family "Bacterial small subunit ribosomal RNA", at positions 354 to 796 of the family's 1533-position model. The record is from RNAcentral.
GUAGGGAAUAUUGGGCAAUGGAUGCAAGUCUGACCCAGCCAUCCCGCGUGCCGGAAGAAGGCCCUCAGGGUUGUAAACGGCUUUUGACGGUGAAGAAUCGACAGGAUGCGUCCUGUUUUGACGGUAGCCGUUGAAUAAGCACCGGCUAACUCCGUGCCAGCAGCCGCGGUAAUACGGAGGGUGCGAGCGUUGUCCGGAUUUAUUGGGUUUAAAGGGUGCGUAGGCUGGAAGGUCAGUCAGCGGUGAAAAGCUAUCGCUUAACGAUAGUCUUGCCGCAGAUACUUCCUUUCUUGGAUGAGGAGGAGGCCACUGGAACGGAUGGUGUAGCGGUGAAAUGCAUAGAUAUCAUCCAGAACACCGAUUGCGAAGGCAGGUGGCUGUACCUUAAUCGACGCUGAUGCACGAAAGCAUGGGGAGCAAACAGGAUUAGAAACCCCGGUAGUCC